GGUUGGCCCGCCACGGCCACGGUCACUCGGCCACUCGGAGCUGCACGGGGUUGAGAGAGCCGGCUCUAGGGUUUGGGCUAGGAACCGAAGAGAAGUUUUCUGGAGACGGGUCGCACCGGGAGUGAGGGAGGCACAGCAUCACCCGCCGCCCUGCUGGGAGGAGGCCGCCACCCUCCGCGGCGAACUGCCGACCCGAAGCGUUUGAGAGGAGAAAGCUGCGCUUCGAGACUGGAUGCGUCAGCAUUUCUUCCGCGCGGCGCGGCGAGCGCGUGGUCCGCGUGCGAGCAAACCCCCUGCAAACGCAGGCGGGCUGAUGCUUCUAGCUGGAGUUAAACAGUUAGCUAUCACUAGGAGUAAAAGCAAGAUUGGGCGAUCCCAUGUAAGGAAAGCAAAAUCUGGGGCGUUUAGUAGCUUUAAUUGUAAGGUGUAAAGACAUUUGAAUUGCUGGGGGAAGCCCCCUGUGUAACGUUCAGAGCUGUGAGUCACUGUGCCUAUUUUCCAUUGUUUAUCAGGGUACUCACCAAUCCACCAACUAAAGUGAGUACCACGGAGCCAGUGAUCUGCCUGUCACGACGCAUGGGGGCACCAACUUGAGACUGAAGUUUGUGAUGAAAGUAAAGCUUUUUUGCUGUGAGUCUAGUUACUAGGCAGUGUAGUUAGCUGAUUGCUAAUAAUACCAAUCACUAACCACACGGCCAGGUAAAAAGAUUUGGGAAUUCAUCCAGAUGAGCUGCGUGUGCACACCAGUGGGUUUGGGGGCAAGAAGGGGAUUGGAAUACCCUAAUAGUACGCAUUGCCUGUUUAUCCAUAGCUCAGCCAAGAGAGAAAUCAGCAUUUUAGCUGCUAAAUAUACAACAUAUGUAGUAAAUAUACAUUUUUAACAUAUAAUUUUUCAAUAUUCCUUCAGGCGCUUAACCAAAAAAAUUUUCAGAUAUAUUGAGGAAUAGAGGUUUUCUCUCUUAGCUCAUUUAUGUCAUUGUGUAAACUUGUGAUUAUUUUGAACUAUCUGUAAGACUGUAUUACUAUUUUGAAAGAAUAAAGUGCCCUAAAGUCAU
Molecule: long non-coding RNA, 1055 nt
Filed under: Equus asinus (donkey)
Lineage: Eukaryota; Metazoa; Chordata; Mammalia; Perissodactyla; Equidae
Description: lncRNA (ENSEASG00005027406.1)
Rfam family: mir-34 microRNA precursor family (bases 639-705)
Source: RNAcentral